Molecule: small RNA, 274 nt
Filed under: Chlorocebus sabaeus (green monkey)
Lineage: Eukaryota; Metazoa; Chordata; Mammalia; Primates; Cercopithecidae
Description: Metazoan signal recognition particle RNA (ENSCSAG00000021062.1)
Source: RNAcentral
GCUGGGUGUGGUGGCGGACGCCUGUAAUCCCAGCUACUCGGGAGGCUGAGGCAGGAGAAUCACUUGAACCCAGGAGGCAGAGAUUGCAGUAAGCCGAGAUCGUGCCACUGCACUCCAGCCUGGUGACAGAGUGAGACUCUGUCUCAAAAAAAAAACAACGGCCAGGCGCGGUUGCUCACGCCUGUACUCCCAGCACUUUGGGAGGCCAAGACAGGUGGAUCGGGAGAUCAGAAGAUCCAGACUAUCCUGGCUAACACAGUGAAAUCCUGUCUCU